CAAAAGCAAGCUUGGGGAGGAAAGGGUUGUUUUGCUUACUCUUCCAUAUCACAGGGAGUCCUGGCAGGAACCCCAGGCAGGAACUGAAGCAGAGGCAGAGCCGGAGAAGGAAUGCUGCUUACUGGUUUAGUUCCCUACUUAGUCUGCUUUCCUACAUGGUCCAGGACACCUGUCCCGGGGUGGCAUGGCUCUCAGUACACUGGGCCCUUCCACACCAGUCUUAAUCCAAAGAAUGUAUUACAGAUUUGCCUCAAGACAAUCCAAUAGACAUUUUCUAAAUUGAAGUUCCUCUUCCCAGUAACUAACUCUAACUUUGGCUUGUGUCAAGUUGUCAAAAAAAAAAAAAAAUUCUCAGGGGCAAUCAGUAAGCAGAUUUCAGCAUAAAUGGUUCAAACGGAAAGGUCAUUGUGAUGAAGCUCCUGGAGCAAGGGCAGGGGUAAAGAACCAGGGAACUUGAUAUAUCUAGUAUCUGGCAACAGCUGGAAACAGACCACCAAUAGAGUUGCAGGAGGGCUGAGAAAAAUGCCCCCCUUAAACUGUUCAGAGCCACUAACCCUGAAGGGUGUGUUUGCAUCUGUCAGGUGAGGGAUUCCAGGAAAGGCUCAGAACUGCUAUCGAUCCAAAGGGAACUUCAAGGGUGUGGGAGUGGGGUGCCAAGUGAGCAGGACAGAUUUCCCCUCCGUGGCCACACACCACCUUCUUGAGGGCCCGAAGGGCACUUGCAGCAUAUGUGUUCUGAGACAGGUCACAUACAUUUCUCCCAACAUAUACUGGAGAGCGACCAUGAUCAUAAACUAUGAAGACAAAGCACUAGCAGGGUGACACACACCUAUAAUCUCAGCACUUUGGAGGUGACUGCAAGAGGAUCAGGGGUUCAAGGUCAUCGCUACCUUAUCUGUGCAAGGAUGGCUGAUAAUGGGUGUGGCAGGAGUUGGAUAGCUGAUAGUCAAACAUAUCCCACUGUGACCUGGGCCAAGGGUCCUGACAUCUGUGCACCUCUGCCCCAGGAGGCUGGACUGUCUUCUCUGUCUCAGAAAAGGGGAGACAGGGAAGCCCCUUAGGAGGUACUUGAACCAGCUAUUAUUUUAACUGGGUCACACUAGUACAUUCCCAGCAACCUUAAGGCAGUUACACUCACUGUGCCCAUUCAGCAACAAGGAAAGUGGAUCGGGAUUGGGCAAGCUGCCCACAUUGUCCGAGCUACAAAGCAGUCAAGAAUAAACACCAUGACCAAAAGCAACUUGGGAGAAAAGGGUUUGUAUGGCUUAAAGGUACAGUCCAUCAUUGAGGGAAGCCAAGGCCGGGAACCAUAGAAGAAUGCUGCUAAC
RNAcentral lists this long non-coding RNA (1328 nucleotides) under Cricetulus griseus (Chinese hamster). RNAcentral describes it as "lncRNA (ENSCGRG00015041094.1)". Lineage: Eukaryota; Metazoa; Chordata; Mammalia; Rodentia; Cricetidae. The record is from RNAcentral.